Molecule: transfer RNA, 83 nt
Filed under: Alienimonas californiensis
Lineage: Bacteria; Pseudomonadati; Planctomycetota; Planctomycetia; Planctomycetales; Planctomycetaceae
Also listed under: 1 other name
Description: Planctomycetes bacterium CA12 tRNA-Tyr
Rfam family: tRNA
About the family: Transfer RNA (tRNA) molecules are approximately 80 nucleotides in length.
Source: RNAcentral
GGGAGCGUACCCGAGUGGUCAAAGGGGCCAGACUGUAAAUCUGGUGGCUACGCCUUCGCAGGUUCGAAUCCUGCCGCUCCCAC